AGUCUCCCUGGAAUAAAGCAGCCAAGGCAGGCUAAUGGUGAAGGCCCAGGCACAGUAAUGGUCCCCUGGAGAUGGAGUCCUGCUCUGUCACCCAUGCUGGAAUGCAGUGGCGUGACUCCAGUGGAAUGCAGUGGGUUCCAGUGAUUCUCCUGCCUCAGCCUCCCAAGUAGCUGGGAUUAUAAGUGUGCACCAUCACACCGUGCUAAUUUUUGUAUUUUUAGUAGAGACAGGGUUUCACGAUGUUGGCCAGG
RNAcentral lists this non-coding RNA (251 nucleotides) under Pongo abelii (Sumatran orangutan). The record is from RNAcentral. Lineage: Eukaryota; Metazoa; Chordata; Mammalia; Primates; Hominidae.